UUUGUUACAGAAAUCUGAAAAAAAUAAAGAAAAAAAUACAGAAACUUCAAGGCGAAAGAAAGUUUAUUAUCCAGACGAACUGAUAUUCCACAAAGAUGAAGAAACAAUAUCAAGAUAAGAAUUCAUACUCAUACAUUACGCAAACAUAUACAAAUAUAAUAAUACUGGCCUGAAGUAUUUUCCUCUGCAUUUAAUUUCACACCCUUAAUCUUCCCUGAUUUUGUGAGUUUUCUCAUUUAAAAUAACCUGCUAGAAUGUAUGAAAAAAUAUAGUAUUAAAGUAAAUAGAAAAAACGAAUCUUUACAUUUGUUAAAAUCUAAAGAAUAAUAUGAUCAGUUUCAGAAAAAUUAAAACUCAACUUUAAGGUUCCACAAAAAUGAAGCUUCUGAGAAACAGUAAAUUCUACACUGUAAUGUGUUUCUGUUCAUUUGGCAAAAUGAGCAUUUAUUACAGCUCUUUUUAUAUAAGAGUUGCCCAACACAUAUCCAUUGGUUAUUACCCACAACUACUCUAAUAUCUGGAAAAUUCACAUCAUAACUACUGACAUUCUUCUCCUAGAAACUAUAAAAAGGAUUAAAAAAAUUUCUUUGAUAAUAUUUUACAACAUCAGACUUAUGUAU
RNAcentral lists this long non-coding RNA (620 nucleotides) under Salvia miltiorrhiza (redroot sage). RNAcentral's name for it is "long non-coding RNA (SMIL_LNC011888)". Lineage: Eukaryota; Viridiplantae; Streptophyta; Magnoliopsida; Lamiales; Lamiaceae. The record is from RNAcentral.